GUGAGUGACCUGGGUCAAUGUCUAAUACUGGCCCCUCCUAACUCUGCACCUGUGUGGGCCCUGUCGGGGAGGAUGUUCAUGAUCAGUGUCAGGCCCCUGGAGCAUCUCCUGCUGUGCUGGUGGAAGGUGGGUGGUCUUGUCACCUGUGUCACACCCAGGGCCUGAUGCUCAGGCCUCUGCAGAGCCAGACCCCUCCUUGUGCUGUAUGGGGCAGCCUGGGCUGAGCUGCCCUUUGUGAGCCAGUCCCCCUCAGGAGGGAUGAGCAGGGGUUGCUUUGUUCUCCAGCACAGUGAGUUACAGAGCUUUACCCUAAAUCAAGAACAGAGGCCUCAGCGUGCCCUGACGUGCACGGAGCUCUUGCCGUCCAAUGCAUGUUUGAACAGGGUGGUUGUGAGUACCCUGAUUGGAGGAAGCCAUUCAGAAAUGCUCAUGGAUUCAGAGUGAGAGGGUCUGUCACUCAGGCAGUGAUAGGUCAGGGAGUCAAUCUCGUGCGUUCUGUGCAGUGAGGCUUCCCAAAGGGUGACUGUUCCACUGCUGCUUUUCCCAUCCAUUUGAACAAUGCCAAACUCACCUGCCUACUCAACCUUGGGAGGGAGGGUGGGGUGUGUUUGUGUAUUCAAAAUUUGUUUGGGUAGCAGAGGGACAGACACAGAGGGCAUCCAUCCCUUCAUCCUAUCCUCAGAUGCCUGUGUGGACACAGUUUUCUCUGUUCAUGUGUAGGAGGGCCCAGUGAUAGCCCCCAGUAUGAGUUGAACUGCUGACAUAGUGCCAUGCUGUGACUUGGACACCCUCUUCAAGGCUGUGGCCUCAAUUCUUAGAAUGGGUAAUGCAGUGGAGCCGGGUGCUGAUUGUAGUCACAGAAGAUGGUUAUGUGUGGGUGCUGAGCUGCAUAUCAAAGAACCCCAUCACUUCACUUACACUUUGAAGCAAGAAGGCAGCAGGAGACCCAAAUGGAGUUCCAGGCUCCUAGGUUCAGCAUGGCCCAGACCCAGCUAUUGUGGCCAUUUGGGAAUUGAACCAGCAAAUGAAGAUCUCUGUCUCUCCCUCUCUUUGUAACUCUGCCUUUCAAAUAAGUAUGUAUAUAAAUAAAUAACAUUUUCAAAUUAAAAA
Non-coding RNA from Oryctolagus cuniculus (rabbit), 1110 nucleotides. NCBI's taxonomy places the organism in Eukaryota, Metazoa, Chordata, Mammalia, Lagomorpha, Leporidae. The record is from RefSeq and is a predicted model, not a curated record.